Molecule: long non-coding RNA, 2318 nt
Organism: Homo sapiens (human)
Lineage: Eukaryota; Metazoa; Chordata; Mammalia; Primates; Hominidae
Gene: FAM27C
Product: family with sequence similarity 27 member C
Source: Ensembl
AAUGCGCAUGCGCGAGGCGCGAGCGGUUUCUCCCGUCACAGUGGUUCCCACGGUUGUCUUAGAAACCAGACCCCGAGGCUUGGCAGAGCAGGAGCCCUCGGUGGCAGUGCUUGGGUGUCGAGGCUCUGAGGCUCCGGCCUCACCUCUCCACGGGGUCGAAGGGAACGUCUCCGGAUGCCAGGAGUCGCAAAGGGCCGACCAUGAUGAUGAAACCCCAGGCAGAGACGGGGGAAGCAGCACGGGAUCCCAGCCUCAGGCCUGCACGGACGGUGUUGGUUGGGAGACGAGGUCUCACUAUAUUGACCAGGCUGGUCUUGAACUCCUGGCCUUAAGCGAUCCUCCUGCCUUGGCCUCCCAAAGUGCUGGAGUUACAGAUGUGAGCCUCUGUGCUCAGUCCAUCCUUGGCUGUUCAAGUGUAGAGGGACACGGCUUCCCCUGAACGCGGAUCCUAGAGGCCAGGCAGAAGCAGCAUGGGUUUCCACUCACACGGUAGGCGGCUGUGCAAUUUCGUCUGGAGUCCCCAGACCCCUCCUCAUCCUUCCCAGGGUUGCUCUGAGGCCAUUCCUUGUCAUCUAGGAGGGGUCUACAUAAAAGCAUUUAUAAACACCUCCAAAUGGGAGCCAGGCGUGCCCACCUUUGGAGCACUUUUCUCUACUGCAAAUUUAUCUACUGCUCGUGAAAUCUCUGGAUUUAACUCUGAUGAAAGACUGGAGGCUGAAGGAGAACUUCAAUAUCAUAUAUUUUAAAGGUUGAUUCACAGUUUGGAGCAAGAAUUAAAGAACCACGAACUUCAAGGUAAAACGGGCAACGGCGUUGGGGCAAGCCUCUCUGCAUCUGCGUGUCCAGCCUCUCCUGCGUGCCAGAAGUUCCCAGGCAGGAGUGUGGUGGGACAUCCGGCUGGGGUAAGGACAGGCACCCUCCCACUGUGUCAGGGCCCAGAGAGUGGGUGGAGAAGCUCUGCAAGAGACCUGUGCAAGGGCGCCUUGCAGGAGCCUGCAGUCCCCACAGGUGUGUUUGUGGAUAACACUUGGGGAGCCCUGGCCUUUUGGGGUCACGGAGGGCUUGGCCUCUCACCUCAGAGCUGCAGAGAAGCCGCUUCUACAUCAGGACAUCAGAAGCUGGAACAGGAUGGCCGGCGAGGGGCCUCUUGUUGGGGUCACAGAGAUGGGUCGCAGAGAUGGCCCGUGUGGAAGGUUGGAUUCUCACCCCACCUCUGCCCCUAGAUGUCCUGGUGACCCUCCCCUCUGUAGUCUUGGUUUUUUGCAAAACAGUUAUGACCUCCUGCCAUACUGGGUACUUUGCUUAUGUAUUGUGUUUACUCUUUACUGUGUGUCUCUCCUGCUAAGGUCUACGAAGAAGGGUCUUUGUGGGUGGGGUUCUUAGAGGCAUCCCAAGUACCAGAAGCAGUCCCUGGACUAAGGGGCUCAAUAAAUAUUUUUUAUUUAUUAUUUUUUCUUUUUGAGAUGGAGUCUCGCUCUCUUGACCAGGCUGGAGUACAGUGGCACAAUCUUGGCUCACUGCAGCCUUCGCCUCCUGGGUUCAAGUGAUUUCCGGCUAAUUUUUGUAUUUUUAGUAGUGACGGGGUAUCACCAUGUUGGCCAGGCUGGUCACAAACUCCUGACCUCAAGUGAUCCACCCGCCUCAGCCUCCCAACAUGCUGGGAUUAUAGACAUGAGCCACCAUGCCUGGCCAAAUAUUUGUCAAAUUGAAUUUGUAUUUCCAUACAAAUUUUAGUCUGGAUAAAGUGCUUCAUGCCUGUAAUCCAAGCACUUUGAGAGGCUGAGGCGGGUGGAUGGCUUGAGCCCAGGAGUUUGAGACCAGCAUGGAAAACAUAGAGAAACCCCAUCUCAAUAUAAGAAGAAGAAGAAAAAGAAAAAAAAAAUCAAAAACGAAAACAACACAAAUUUUAGAGUAAGUAUUUUAAGUUCCACAAAAACCUGGUUAGGAUUUGGAUAGCAAUUUCUUUAGUUCUACAAAUCAAUUUGGAAAAAAUUAAUUAAUUUGGGAAGAAUUCAUUUUGAGUCUUCUAAUCCAUGAACAUGGUAUCUCCAUUUGUUUAGACCAUCUUUAAUGCCUACUAAUAACAUUUCUGUAUAGUGACCUUGCACAUUAUUCUUAGAUUCUUGAUAUUUUGUGCUAUUAUGUCUUUUUAUAAAUUUUAUUUUUCCAACAUUGUUGCUAAUAUAUAGUAAGAAAAUGGAAUCUUGCCUAUAGAUUUUGAACCCAACAACUUUGCUAAACUCCUCUGAAUCCUCAGAAUUUCCCUGUGGAUUAUGUAGGCUCUUCUGCAUACACAACCAUAUCAUCUGUGAAUAAAG